CGCCUCUUGCAAAAUUAACGAAUAAGAGGUCCUGCCUGCCCUGUGACCAUGAGUUCAACGGCCGCGGUAUUUUGACCGUGCAAAGGUAGCGCAAUCACUUGUCUUUUAAAUGAAGACCCGUAUGAAUGGCAAGACGAGGGCUUAGCUGUCUCCUUUUUCAAGUCAAUGAAAUUGAUCUUCCCGUGCAGAAGCGGGAAUUCCGACAUAAGACGAGAAGACCCUAUGGAGCUUUAGACACCAAGACAGACCACGUCAAAACUCCCUAAUAAAGGACCGAACUAAAUGGACCCUGUCCUAAUGUCUUUGGUUGGGGCGACCACGGGGAAAUACAAAACCCCCGCGUGGAAUGGGAGUACCCUUGCUCCUACAACUGAGAGCUUCCGCUCUAAUAAACAGAAUUUCUGACCAACAAGAUCCGGCAACGCCGAUCAACGAACCGAGUUACCCUAGGGAUAACAGCGCAAUCCUCUUUUAGAGCCCAUAUCGACAAGGGGGUUUACGACCUCGAUGUUGGAUCAGGACAUCCUAAUGGUGCAGCCGCUAUUGAGGGUUCGUUUGUUCAACGAUUAAAGUCCU
RNAcentral lists this ribosomal RNA (576 nucleotides) under Sciaenops ocellatus (red drum). RNAcentral's name for it is "partial 16S ribosomal RNA". It matches the Rfam family "Bacterial large subunit ribosomal RNA", at positions 1817 to 2597 of the family's 2925-position model. Lineage: Eukaryota; Metazoa; Chordata; Actinopteri; Sciaenidae. The record is from RNAcentral.